RNAcentral lists this long non-coding RNA (272 nucleotides) under Lathyrus oleraceus (garden pea). RNAcentral describes it as "Pisum sativum (pea) long non-coding RNA (PSAT_LNC023172)". The record is from RNAcentral. Lineage: Eukaryota; Viridiplantae; Streptophyta; Magnoliopsida; Fabales; Fabaceae.
UUAAUUUUAAUUUCUAAAUAGUUUAUUUUUCAAAAAAAUAUCAAAAUAUUCACAUUUCUUAAUUAGAGAGGAGGCACAUCCAAUUAAGCUAGAGAGGAGGCGUCAUUAGCCUUGGAGCAUGCAUGCAAAAUCAAUGCAUGUAGACGCCACAUGCAUUGGCGCAUGCUUGUGUGUGUGUGGAGCCUAUUGCUUUGGAGCAUGCAUGGUUUGCUUCUUCUAUAAAUACCACCCUCGCAUCUAUAUAUUAUUUCAUACAACUUCUUACCCUAUUC